This 253-nucleotide ribosomal RNA is filed under the name uncultured bacterium. RNAcentral's name for it is "partial 16S ribosomal RNA". It matches the Rfam family "Bacterial small subunit ribosomal RNA", at positions 524 to 776 of the family's 1533-position model. The record is from RNAcentral.
UACGAAGGGUGCAAACGUUGCUCGGAAUCAUUGGGCGUAAAGCGCGCGUAGGCGGCCUGACAAGUCGGAUGUGAAAUCCCUCGGCUCAACCGAGGACGUGCAUCCGAAACUGUCGGGCUCGAGUAUGGAAGAGGGUCGCAGAAGUCCCGGUGUAGAGGUGAAAUUCGUAGAUAUCGGGAGGAAUACCAGUGGCGAAGGCGGCGACCUGGGCCAAUACUGACGCUGAGGUGCGAAAGCGUGGGGAGCAAACAGG